GCCGAUUAAUAUUGAAGAGUGCAUUGAAAAUGCGGAGAAGUUUGAGUCGGAUUUGGAUUGUCUUACCGAGGACAUUAUCAUUACUAAAUAGACUUCAUUUGUGGAAACUUUGAUUUUGCGCGAGUCUACCACUACUAGCACUCUCGUGGCUUAAGCUGGACAUGGACCCUAGAUCAAUUUUGAUGUAGUCCUCGAUUGUUGUUGGCCAUCCAUCCUAUCUCUCUCCAUGACAUUUUCCAUCAUCUUGGAUCAAAGAACUUUUUUAAUUUAUUUUACUUGGAGAUGGGAUAGAUAGAUAGAUAGAUGAGUUUAAUUUACUAUUAUGAAUUUUCAAUUUUACCAUGUACUUUUAGCGAUAAUGUCUUAAUUGUGAAAGUAGCUUAUCUCUAGUUGCUCAACAAUUCUGAACCCUCCUCGAGGUUCAUUCAAAGCAAAAUGUGGGAGGAUAUUUCUUUU
This is a long non-coding RNA of Rhodamnia argentea, 456 nucleotides long. RefSeq lists it as uncharacterized. The transcript is spliced from 3 exons. The record is from RefSeq and is a predicted model, not a curated record. NCBI's taxonomy places the organism in Eukaryota, Viridiplantae, Streptophyta, Magnoliopsida, Myrtales, Myrtaceae.